GGCUUGGUAGCUCAGUUGGUUAGAGCGCCGCCCUGUCACGGCGGAGGUCGUGGGUUCGAGCCCCAUCCGAGUCGCCA
Molecule: transfer RNA, 77 nt
Filed under: Clostridia bacterium
Lineage: Bacteria; Bacillati; Bacillota; Clostridia
Description: tRNA-Asp
Rfam family: tRNA
About the family: Transfer RNA (tRNA) molecules are approximately 80 nucleotides in length.
Source: RNAcentral